AUUGAACGCUGGCGGCAGGCCUAACACAUGCCAGUCGAGCGGAUGAAGGGAGCUUGCUCCUGGAUUCAGCGGCGGACGGGUGAGUAAUGCCUAGGAAUCUGCCUGGUAGUGGGGGAUAACGUCCGUAAACGGGCGCUAAUACCGCAUACGUCCUGAGGGAGAAAGUGGGGGAUCUUCGGACCUCACGCUAUCAGAUGAGCCUAGGUCGGAUUAGCUAGUUGGUGGGGUAAAGGCCUACCAAGGCGACGAUCCGUAACUGGUCUGAGAGGAUGAUCAGUCACACUGGAACUGAGACACGGUCCAGACUCCUACGGGAGGCAGCAGUGGGGAAUAUUGGGCAAUGGGCGAAAGCCUGAUCCAGCCAUGCCGCGUGUGUGAAGAAGGUCUUCGGAUUGUAAAGCACUUUAAGUUGGGAGGAAGGGCAGUAAGUUAAUACCUUGCUGUUUUGACGUUACCAACAGAAUAAGCACCGGCUAACUUCGUG
This 484-nucleotide ribosomal RNA is filed under the name uncultured bacterium. RNAcentral's name for it is "partial 16S ribosomal RNA". It matches the Rfam family "Bacterial small subunit ribosomal RNA", at positions 30 to 507 of the family's 1533-position model. The record is from RNAcentral.